RNAcentral lists this unclassified non-coding RNA (339 nucleotides) under soil metagenome. RNAcentral's name for it is "partial contains 5.8S ribosomal RNA, internal transcribed spacer 2, and large subunit ribosomal RNA". The stretch from base 1 to 120 matches the Rfam family "5.8S ribosomal RNA", at positions 35 to 154 of the family's 154-position model. The record is from RNAcentral.
GAUGAAGAACGCAGCGAAAUGCGAUACGUAGUGUGAAUUGCUGAAUUCAGUGAAUCAUCGAAUCUUUGAACGCACAUUGCACCUCUCGGUAUUCCGGGAGGUAUGCCUGUUCGAGCGUCAUUUGUACCCUCAAGCUCUGCUUGGUGUUGGGUGUUUGUUCCGCCUCUGUGUGUGAACUCGCCUCAAAACAAUUGGCAGCCGGCGUACUUGUUUCGGAGCGCAGCACAUUUUGCGAUCCAGAUCAACGUACAGCGGCAUCCAAGAAGCCUUCUUUAACGCUCUUGACCUCGGAUCAGGUAGGGAUACCCGCUGAACUUAAGCAUAUCAAUAAGCGGAGGA